This 269-nucleotide unclassified non-coding RNA is filed under the name Hevea brasiliensis (rubber tree). Lineage: Eukaryota; Viridiplantae; Streptophyta; Magnoliopsida; Malpighiales; Euphorbiaceae. The record is from RNAcentral.
GGGAAUUCUGCUAGGCGUGGCUUCGCCACUGACUAGAUAUAAUUUUACAUCUCACGAGAAGUUAAAAUAAAAAAACAUCUGCACUAACAACACCCUAGAGAAUCAGAUAUUCUUUUUUCAUUAAACAAUAUUUCACUGCACAUAAAAACUAUCUAAAGAGACAUGUAGAUCAAAAGGUCCUGCAAAACUGCAGUCAUUGCCAAAUGCACUCAUUGUGCAACAAUGACAGUACCGAAAACGAAACAUCAAAAGGGAAGCUCAAGACUCGU